AGAGUUUGAUCCUGGCUCAGAACAAACGCUGGCGGCGUGCCUAAUACAUGCAAGUCGAACGGGGAGAGCUUUCGGGUGAGUACUAGUGGCGCACGGGUGAGUAACGCGUGGAUAAUCUGCCUUGGAGUGGGGGAUAACGAAUCGAAAGAUUCGCUAAUACCGCAUAAGACCACAAGAACUGCGGUUCAAGGGGUCAAAGGUUUUUCGUUCCAAGAUGAGUCCGCGUAAGAUUAGCUAGUUGGUGAGGUAAUGGCUCACCAAGGCGACGAUCUUUAACUGGUCUGAGAGGAUGAUCAGUCACACUGGAACUGAGACACGGUCCAGACUCCUACGGGAGGCAGCAGUAGGGAAUAUUGCACAAUGGAGGAAACUCUGAUGCAGCGACGCCGCGUGAGUGAUGAAGGCCUUCGGGUCGUAAAGCUCUGUCGCAGGGGAAUAACACAAUGAAUGUACCCUGUAAGAAAGGAUCGGCUAACUUCGUGCCAGCAGCCGCGGUAAGACGAGGGAUCCUAGCGUUGUUCGGAAUUAUUGGGCGUAAAGCGGGUGUAGGUGGCUAUGUAAGUCAGGUGUGAAAGCCUAGGGCUCAACCCUAGAAGUGCAUCUGAUACUGCGUAGCUUGAGUGGUAGAGAGGAUAGUAGAAUUCUCGGUGUAGUGGUGAAAUACGUAGAUAUCAAGAGGAAUACCGGUGGCGAAGGCGGCUAUC
This 704-nucleotide ribosomal RNA is filed under the name uncultured Bdellovibrio sp. Its description in RNAcentral is "bacterial SSU rRNA". It matches the Rfam family "Bacterial small subunit ribosomal RNA", at positions 8 to 729 of the family's 1533-position model. Lineage: Bacteria; Pseudomonadati; Bdellovibrionota; Bdellovibrionia; Bdellovibrionales; Pseudobdellovibrionaceae. The record is from RNAcentral.